Molecule: ribosomal RNA, 433 nt
Filed under: uncultured bacterium
Lineage: Bacteria
Description: partial 16S ribosomal RNA
Rfam family: Bacterial small subunit ribosomal RNA
Source: RNAcentral
AACGAACGCUGGCGGCAUGCCUAACACAUGCAAGUCGAACGAGACCUUCGGGUCUAGUGGCGCACGGGUGCGUAACGCGUGGGAACCUGCCCUUAGGUUCGGAAUAACUCCCCGAAAGGGGUGCUAAUACCGGAUAAUGUCUUCGGACCAAAGAUUUAUCGCCUUUUGAUGGGCCCGCGUUGGAUUAGCUAGUUGGUAGGGUAAAAGCCUACCAAGGCGACGAUCCAUAGCUGGUCUGAGAGGAUGAUCAGCCACACUGGGACUGAGACACGGCCCAGACUCCUACGGGAAGCAGCAGUGGGGAAUAUUGGACAAUGGGCGAAAGCCUGAUCCAGCAAUGCCGCGUGAGUGACGAAGGCCUUAGGGUUGUAAAGCUCUUUUACCCGGGAUGAUAAUGACAGUACCGGGAGAAUAAGCUCCGGCUAACUCCGUG